GCCGGGCAUGGUGGUGCGCGCCUGUAAUCCUAGCUACUUGGGAGGCUGAGACAAGAGGAUUGCUUGAACCCAAGAGGCAGAGGCUGCAGUGGGCUGAGAUUGGGCCACUGCACUCCAGCCUGGGUGACAGAGCAAGACUCUGUCUCAA
Pongo abelii (Sumatran orangutan) is the source of this 148-nucleotide unclassified non-coding RNA. It matches the Rfam family "Metazoan signal recognition particle RNA". Rfam says of the family: The signal recognition particle (SRP) is a universally conserved ribonucleoprotein. It is involved in the co-translational targeting of proteins to membranes. The eukaryotic SRP consists of a 300-nucleotide 7S RNA and six proteins: SRPs 72, 68, 54, 19, 14, and 9. Lineage: Eukaryota; Metazoa; Chordata; Mammalia; Primates; Hominidae. The record is from Ensembl.